RNAcentral lists this long non-coding RNA (326 nucleotides) under Pollicipes pollicipes. RNAcentral's name for it is "uncharacterized LOC119100890". Lineage: Eukaryota; Metazoa; Arthropoda; Thecostraca; Pollicipedomorpha; Pollicipedidae. The record is from RNAcentral.
GCCGCCUGCUCCCGAACCGGAGCUGGCGGCGCCCGCGGCCCAGUCCGAGAGCAACUUUAGUCAGCUGGAGGAUCAGAUGGCAGAAGCACUGGCCCUCAGCGUCUUUGGUCCCGGGGAUUUCAACCAUUCGCUGGAUUUAUCAUUCAACCGAGAGAGCUUAGGUGGCGUCGAGCUGCCGCUGGUGGAGCUGGACGACAGCGACUGCGUGGACGACUGUCCCGCCAGCCCGGCGCGGGUCGAGCCGCCCACAGACGUCCUCAUCGACCUGUAGCAGCCUGGUGUCAGCGGCCGCGCCGGAGGCCGGCUGCCGGGCCCCGACCGGCGGG